AUGUCGUCUUGCACCCCCCGUGAGAAUACCACGACAUUUGGCGCCCACCGUGGGGCGGUACUAUGCUACCGCGCUGCUGCUGGUUUCGCAGUCCGGGGCAGGACCAUUUUCGUCUUCACCGCUACGGCGUCGCGCCGUCUCUCCAGUAGCGGUCGGGGCUCGACAUCGACACGCCUCCGAAGUGGCCCCGCGGGACGGCGCGUCCUCGCCGUCGGCCUCGGCAUCUUCGUCAUCACUGCCGCAACGUCGCGCCGCCUCUCCGGCGCCGGUCGGGGGAUUGACAUCAGCACGCCCCUGGCGCGCCAUGCGAGGCGAUGCGUCGUCGUUGUUUGUCAGUCUUUGCGCCCGCUGCGCCAACCACCGUGA
Molecule: ribosomal RNA, 366 nt
Filed under: Triticum aestivum (bread wheat)
Lineage: Eukaryota; Viridiplantae; Streptophyta; Magnoliopsida; Poales; Poaceae
Description: partial small subunit ribosomal RNA
Source: RNAcentral